Molecule: ribosomal RNA, 84 nt
Filed under: Tritrichomonas sp.
Lineage: Eukaryota; Parabasalia; Tritrichomonadida; Tritrichomonadidae
Description: partial large subunit ribosomal RNA
Source: RNAcentral
UUGCUUUUGCAAGCUAGGUCCCUGUAAACGAGUCGGGCAGCUUGAGAAUGCUGCCUUAAUUAGGUGGUACGCCCCAUCAGAAAA